UUUUUAGUGUAAGUAUGUCCCAUGCAAUAUUUGGGACAUACUUAUACUUUAA
Molecule: microRNA precursor, 52 nt
Filed under: Felis catus (domestic cat)
Lineage: Eukaryota; Metazoa; Chordata; Mammalia; Carnivora; Felidae
Also listed under: 2 other names
Description: mir-1302 microRNA precursor family
Rfam family: mir-1302 microRNA precursor family
Source: Rfam by way of RNAcentral